Molecule: ribosomal RNA, 420 nt
Filed under: bacterium
Lineage: Bacteria
Description: partial 16S ribosomal RNA
Rfam family: Bacterial small subunit ribosomal RNA
Source: RNAcentral
UGGGGGAUAUUGCACAAUGGGCGAAAGCCUGAUGCAGCGACGCCGCGUGGGGGAUGAAGGCUUUCGGGUUGUAAACCUCUUUCGCUAUCGAACAAGGCCCGCUUAGGGUGGGUUGAGGGUAGGUGGAGAAGAAGCGCCGGCUAACUACGUGCGAGCAGCCGCGGUAAUACGUAGGGCGCGAGCGUUGUCCGGAAUUAUUGGGCGUAAAGGGCUUGUAGGCGGCUUGUUGCGCCUGCUGUGAAAACGCGGGGCUUAACUUCGCGCGUGCAGUGGGUACGGGCAGGCUUGAGUGUGGUAGGGGUGACUGGAAUUCCAGGUGUAGCGGUGGAAUGCGCAGAUAUCUGGAGGAACACCGAUGGCGAAGGCAGGUCACUGGGCCAUUACUGACGCUGAGGAGCGAAAGCAUGGGUAGCGAACAGG